RNAcentral lists this ribosomal RNA (229 nucleotides) under uncultured bacterium. RNAcentral's name for it is "partial 16S ribosomal RNA". It matches the Rfam family "Bacterial small subunit ribosomal RNA", at positions 524 to 752 of the family's 1533-position model. The record is from RNAcentral.
GACGUAGGGCGCAAGCGUUGUCCGGAAUUAUUGGGCGUAAAGAGCUCGUAGGCGGUUUGUCGCGUCUGCUGUGAAAACCCGAGGCUCAACCUCGGGCCUGCAGUGGGUACGGGCAGACUAGAGUGCGGUAGGGGAGAUUGGAACUCCUGGUGUAGCGGUGGAAUGCGCAGAUAUCAGGAGGAACACCGAUGGCGAAGGCAGAUCUCUGGGCCGUAACUGACGCUGGAGA